This 455-nucleotide ribosomal RNA is filed under the name uncultured bacterium. RNAcentral's name for it is "bacterial SSU rRNA". It matches the Rfam family "Bacterial small subunit ribosomal RNA", at positions 28 to 519 of the family's 1533-position model. The record is from RNAcentral.
GAUGAACGCUGGCGGCGUGCCUAAUACAUGCAAGUCGAGCGGUAAGGCCUCUUCGGAGGUACACGAGCGGCGGACGGCUGAGUAACACGUAGGAACGUACCCCAAACUGAGGGAUAACUCUGGGAAACCAGAGCUAAUACCGCAUGUGCUCCAAGGAGUAAAGCUUCGGCGGUUUGGGAACGGCCUGCGCAUGAUUAGCUUGUUGGUGAGGUAAUGGCUCACCAAGGCGACGAUCAUUAGCUGGUCUGAGAGGAUGAUCAGCCAGACUGGGACUGAGACACGGCCCAGACUCCUACGGGAGGCAGCAGUAGGGAAUUUUCCACAAUGGACGAAAGUCUGAUGGAGCAACGCCGCGUGCAGGAUGAAGGCCCUUGGGUCGUAAACUGCUUUUAUAUGUGAAGAUUAUGACGGUAGCAUAUGAAUAAGGAUCGGCUAACUCCGUGCCAGCAGCCGCC